GCCACACCAGUGACCUUUUCUAUUUCCUAGUAAACAAACUUCAUGAGUACUUGCCGGAGUCUAGGGAUAAGAAUGCACUACAAAAUCAAAGCCAAAGGGUUGAUGAGCUGGUGGCAUGCAUUGAAAUUAUACAGACCCUAGUAUUGAUGUUCAGAGAAACAGAAACUGAGUCAUCACGCCUGAACACAUUGGCAGCUAAGAAUUACAGAAGCUUAUUCUGGAGUAUACAAAUACUGCUACAGCACUUUUAUAUGAGAUACUUCUUGUCUUUCAGCAGGGAAAUCUCGGAUUGGGAUCCACAAAGUUUGCUAUUAGCUGGAUAAUGUCCUUUCUACAAAGCUGUCCUCCCAUCAUUACUUUUGUGGCCAGUAUUGUGAAACAAGUGGUGAGGGGUCUUUCAGCUUCAUUUCAGCUGCUAAGUCCCUGCCAAGCAGUUCUGUUGUACCAGCAAUUUUACAUCCUCAAGAGCUGUCUGCGGCACAGCAGGACUCUAGCUGAGUAUAUUAGGAAUAACUACAGAGAAGAAUUCAGGUACUUUAUUCACAUGCCAGCCUUGCAGAAAAGGCUCCCAUUGUGUUACCCCAUCACUCAACCUACCACUCAACUUUUUCAUGAAGUUCUGAAAUUGGUUGAAUAGAAACAAACAAUGUACGCAAUGUUAAUAAGAGUAUAAAAUGUUAAUCAAGAGUCAACUUGAUAUUCACGAGAACCAUUUUUUUAUUUGUUUAAUAUCUGGCUAUCUCUGAGUCCUAUAAAUAAAGAUUUUAAUUGAAUGUUCCAUCAAUACCUCUCUAUGAGAAGUUUAAAAUUUUAAAAAAUAAAUUUGCUUUAUUAUAA
RNAcentral lists this small RNA (837 nucleotides) under Pan troglodytes (chimpanzee). RNAcentral describes it as "processed transcript". The record is from RNAcentral. Lineage: Eukaryota; Metazoa; Chordata; Mammalia; Primates; Hominidae.